UCUUUACAGAGGAAGAGGAGGAAGAAGAAGAGAAGAUGAAGAGGAAGAAGAGGAGGAGGAGGAUAAGGACUUGGUUGGUGUAGCAGUGCUGGGAGGUGCCAUAACACAGGGCACUCCUCACCUCAACAACAGUCUCUUCACCGACAAGUAAUUCUUCACCAACAAGCUUUUCAGCAGCUUGGAGAAAUAGACACUACCAAACGAAGAAGAGGAGGAGGAGGAGGAGGACUGGGAAGAAGACGAGGAACACAGGAGGAGCCCAUUGAGUGUGCGGUGUCCCACAGGCAGGCAGACCGAGACGCCAGCCAUUCAAUUCUGCCGAGGGAAGGAAGUCGUGUUAGUCAACUCUGAUGACUUGUACUUUUCUCUGCAAGGGACUGUUCUGUAAGCCAGUCACAGAAGAUGUGAACUGUAUCUGUACUAUGAAGUCUUAUAAAUAAAGUUAAAGGCUACA
Molecule: long non-coding RNA, 454 nt
Organism: Eriocheir sinensis (Chinese mitten crab)
Lineage: Eukaryota; Metazoa; Arthropoda; Malacostraca; Decapoda; Varunidae
Exons: 4
Source: RefSeq, a predicted model, not a curated record